GGAGGCAGCAGUGAGGGAUAUUCCACAAUGGGCGAAACUGACGGAGCAACGCCGCGUGGAGGAUGAAGGCCUUCGGGUUGUAAACUCCUUUCGGCAGAGACGAAGCCCCCGAUUUAUCGGGGGUGACGGUAUCUGCAGAAGAAGCCCCGGCCAACUACGUGCCAGCAGCCGCGGUAAUACGUAGGGGGCGAGCGUUGUUCUGAAUUACUGGGCGUAAAGAGCACGUAGGCGGUAAGUCAAGUCGAGUGUGAAAGCCUUGGGCUCAACCCAAGGAUUGCACUCGAAACUAACUUACUAGAGUCUAGUAGAGGGAAGUGGAAUUCCCGGUGUAGCGGUGAAAUGCGCAGAUAUCGGGAAGAACACCAGUGGCGAAGGCGGCUUCCUGGAUUAUGACUGACGCUGAGGUGCGAAAGCUAGGGGAGCGAACAGGAUUAGAUACCCUGGUAGUCCUAGCCGUAAACGAUGGGCACUAGGUGUAGGGAGUUAUUGACGCUCUCUGUGCCGCAGCUAACGCAUUAAGUGCCCCGCCUGGGGAGUACGGCCGCAAGCUAAAACUCAAAUGAAUUGACGG
This 571-nucleotide ribosomal RNA is filed under the name uncultured bacterium. RNAcentral describes it as "bacterial SSU rRNA". It matches the Rfam family "Bacterial small subunit ribosomal RNA", at positions 344 to 916 of the family's 1533-position model. The record is from RNAcentral.